AACGCACCUUGCGCUCCUUGGAUAUUCCGAGGAGCAUGCCUGUUUGAGUGUAAUUAUAUUCUCAACUCCACUAGCUUUUGUGGCUAGCCUUUGGAGCUUGGAUGUGGAGGUCUUGCUGGCUUUGACCAAAAAGGUCAGCUCCUCUGAAAUGUAUUAGCGGAACCGUUUGCGAUCCGUCACAGGUGUGAUAAUUAUCUACGCCAGUGGGUUGCUUUCUGUAUGUUCAGCUUCUAAUCGUCCAGUAAAAUGGACAAUAUUACAUUGGUUAAACCUCAAAUCAGGUAGGACUACCCGCUGAACUUAA
Molecule: unclassified non-coding RNA, 304 nt
Filed under: uncultured fungus
Lineage: Eukaryota; Fungi
Description: partial contains 5.8S ribosomal RNA, internal transcribed spacer 2, and large subunit ribosomal RNA
Source: RNAcentral